Molecule: ribosomal RNA, 253 nt
Filed under: uncultured bacterium
Lineage: Bacteria
Description: partial 16S ribosomal RNA
Rfam family: Bacterial small subunit ribosomal RNA
Source: RNAcentral
GACAGAGGUGCCAAGCGUUAGGCGGAAUCACUGGGCUUAAAGCGUGUGUAGGCGGAAUUGUAAGUACCUUGUGAAAUCGCCCGGCUCAACCGGGCGGGGUCGUUCAAUACUGCGCGGCUGGAGGAGGUCAGAGGGAAGUGGAAUUCCUGGUGUAGCAGUGAAAUGCGUAGAUAUCGGGAGGAACAUCUGUGGCGAAGGCGACACCCUGGACCAGCACUGACACUGAGGCACGAAAGCGUGGGGAGCAAACAGG